Molecule: ribosomal RNA, 467 nt
Filed under: uncultured bacterium
Lineage: Bacteria
Description: partial 16S ribosomal RNA
Rfam family: Bacterial small subunit ribosomal RNA
Source: RNAcentral
GAUGAACGCUGGCGGCGUGCUUAACACAUGCAAGUCGAACGGAAAGGCCUCUGCUUGCAGGGGUACUCGAGUGGCGAACGGGUGAGUAACACGUGGGUGAUCUGCCCUGCACUUCGGGAUAAGCCUGGGAAACUGGGUCUAAUACCGGAUAGGACAAUGGUUUGGAUGCUGUUGUGGAAAGUUUUUCGGUGUGGGAUGAGCUCGCGGCCUAUCAGCUUGUUGGUGGGGUAAUGGCCUACCAAGGCGUCGACGGGUAGCCGGCCUGAGAGGGUGUACGGCCACAUUGGGACGGAGAUACGGCCCAGACUCCUACGGGAGGCAGCAGUGGGGAAUAUUGCACAAUGGGCGCAAGCCUGAGGCAGCGACGCCGCGUGGGGGAUGACGGCCUUCGGGUUGUAAACUCCUUUCGCUAGGGACGAAGCGUUUUUGUGACGGUACCUGGAGAAGAAGCACCGGCUAACUACGUG